Molecule: long non-coding RNA, 1583 nt
Organism: Humulus lupulus (European hop)
Lineage: Eukaryota; Viridiplantae; Streptophyta; Magnoliopsida; Rosales; Cannabaceae
Exons: 3
Source: RefSeq, a predicted model, not a curated record
GUCAAGCAUAAGUAGAGAAAUGAGUAUCAGGUUACUACUUGGGUAUAUUGUUAAAUGAGUCCUUUGAUUACAGUUUUUAAAAAGACGAUGCUUCUUCCUGCCCUUCUUUAUUAUUGAAAUUAAUUCCGCUGCUCAUGUAUGUUGUUCGGUGUGAUUAUAUGCUGAAUAUCAUUCCUUGUAUUUUCUCCUGUGUGAAUUGAUUUUGUUAUUAAUUUUUAAAUUCUAUACAAGUGUAACUUAUAUAAGUUUGUGAAUAUUUCAGCAUGAUCUAGAAUAUGAUAUUUUAGUCAUAAAUUUACGAAUUUGAUAUUGUUGUUAGAAAGUUGGUAGACUUUGUCUGUUUUCAGUUGGUGAACACAGGAAAUGAAAGGGCAAAAGUCAGCCUUCUUUUUACAUGGGCGGAAGGCAAUGUUGCCAACCAGAGGGAACAUCUAAUUCUUCUCCUUGCCAAUAUUCACAUUCAGAAAGCUAAUAAGCAGUCUAUCUUGAAGAGUUAUACACAGUAUAUCCUUUUGCCAAUCAGUGACCUUGAUUCUUGGUUGAAGACACCCUCCAUAUAUGUUUUUGAUUGCUCUGCGGCUGGGGGAAUAUUGUGAAUGUUUUUAUUGAGGUAAAGCUUUAACUCAAAACAUAUAAUGAAUUGAUAUAUGUAUUUUGGGCAGUGAAUGCUUUUUCUUAUGAGACUAAAUUUUUUUUGUUGUAUUUUAAGUUGUGGAUAACAAUUGGUUUUUUUUUUUAAGAUAACAAUUGGUUUUUGUGCUGUGGAUCAUUAGAUCUGUUUUAUUAACAUAAGGAUGUAAUAUUUGCUUCUACAUUUACUAUCAUUCUAGUCAUAGAAAGUUAGUAUACUUCAGUUACAAGUUUAAUUGUUUUGCACCUAUAAGGGCUCUAUAACCCAUGCUUGCAAACUGGAAGUGACAUCAAGGAAAUAGUGUUUGAAGUGUUUGUUGAUAAGGAAGUUUUAUACUGUAUUUCAGAUGAAUCUGAAUCUACUUUUCAUGAGGCUUUUCUUAGUCGUCUUACGGAAACUGGUGCAACAGAAAGUUCAUCUUUAUGUGACCUUCCUAAACAGAUGGAGGGUGAUCAACAGAGAGCCUCUGAACAGACUAAGAACAUCUUAAGUAAUAUAGUUGCUGCUGUCGACAAUUUGUGGUAUCUAAAAGAUGGAAUACAUACUGUAGUCUUGAAAAAACUUUCAGAAAAUGGUAAGAGCUAUGUGGGUUUUAUAGUUUUAUUUUUGUAUGAUACUUCAAGCACUGAUCUGUAGACUUAUCUCAAAGGACACCAAGUGAAUUAUAUAGAGAGGUUAAGAACUUGAGGGUGGCAUUUACUGACCUGUUUUUGAAGCAUAACACUUUCAAAGAAACUGCAAAGCCAUCGAGAUAUUGAUGCAAAGAAUAAAGCCGAGCUUAGAAUAUUAAGAGGUAACUCCUAGUGAGUGGAGAGAAGGCACUUCAACUUGGAUUGCAAGUAAUUGCAAAGAUUAAGGGCUAUGCUGAUGUAGCUCAGGUACUCCAAUGAAUUGGCUUCCUAGUUCUAUUUUACUGUUGCUAAAACAUAGCUCAAAGAAGAUUAUCUUUGCA